AAUCACAUGAUUCUCAACGCACAAAACCUCGUUGAUUCUCAUUUCACAGCGAUCAGAAGGUAAUCCAACACUUUCUCACAAUAAUACUAUAAACAACUAUAUUGCUAUAUGUUAUACUGUAUCUGAUCAGAUGGUGCUAUCUUAAUCACACAACAGUCAUUUUAAUUUAACAUUGAAUAUGUAUCCCUUUACCACAAACACAACAAAGAAGCAUCAUUUGUCCUAGUUUUUAAGAACGAGCGCGAGGGUUUAUGGAAAACCUGGAUGAGCGAUAAUGCGUGACGUAUCUGAAGCGUCAGACAUCGCAGAUCAGACAUCGUCAGACAAAACAAACAGAUGGACGAGCAGGAGGAAGACUCAAAACUUUAUCAAUUCUGGAUUAACAAUCAAGUACGGAGAGAAAGCAUGGUACAUAAACCAGACCUUUCACUAGAUGCAGACAUAUGUUUUGAGCUUCAUCGUGAUGAAUGUGAGGGAGUCAAAGAUGAGAUGUUUGUACAUCAGUCGUCUGUUGCUCUCCUCGUUCAUCAGUCAGUAUGUUAUGAACUCGUCUGCUGGGACAGAAAGUGAAACAUGUAUUAAAACCGACUUAAGGAAGUCUCUCUCUCUCUCUCUCUCUCCUUGAAUGAAAGGCUCUUCAAAAUGAGACUUGAGAGGACUUAUUUACACACAUCCUUUAAAACGUCAACAUUUUUGAUCACAAUCUGAUCAUUCAGCAUGUGUGUCAAUCGUUGAUGCUUAAUAAUGAAACAAGCGUUUACAUUAUACAGACAAUAUAGACACAAGUGGAACGAGGAUGUGAAGAAUUUAACAUAACAGAGCUUAGCAAUACAAGCUGUGAAGUUAUGGAUAAAAAUAUUGAAUUGAUGUUUAAACAUGUAUAUAUCUGUAUAGGCCUAUUCAUGAUAAAAAUCACAAUUAUUAUUUAUGUUGAAAAACAGAAACAGUUUUAUUGAAGCACUGUGGAACACAUGAUAUGUGUUGAGUGCUUCUGUUGGUAUUUAAGUGUAAAAACAAAUCCUUUUAUUUAUGUUUACUGUGUUGAACUCAAACAUUUAAACACAACGGAGCCAAACAAUAUAAGCAGUGAAGUUAUGUUUAAAAUUUUUAAUUUGUGUGCACUUUGUUUUUGUAAUUGUAUACUUUUUUUAUAACUUUUUUAAUUUUAAAAGAAAUAAAAUUUUGUGAGGUUAAUGCUUCUCGUUUCUUUAUCAAAUGCAAAUAAAUGGCGCCACCUAGAGCAAAAUCUGUGAUACUGCCACACCCAUGAGAAAAUAAUCAAACUCUUCGUUCAAGUCCUGUAAAACUCAGAGUCAUCCAUAAUAUUAAUAUUAGGAGCCGAAUAUGGUUACAACGAACAUGCACAAUCAUUUCUAGAUUUAUUUUCAUAAAAAUAUACAUGUAAUAUCUUACGUUUUUAAGCAAACUUUACCUUGAUGUGUGUGUGAUGACGAGUCAUUGACGUUCCAAUGUAACAUCUGGAUCCUGAAAAGCCAGUUGAGAUCCAGUGCUGCGGCACACUGCUGUCAAUGCAACUAGUCAUAUACGAGUUAAAUAUUAAAAGACUAAGAUUGUCAUUUCGUUGUCGAGUCUAAAGGUGAGAAAUACGGUGAGUCUUGUGCUCAAUUGUGCUGAUAUCACACACACACACACAGAGAUCACAGACAGCUAAUGUGGAUAUAUCUGAACCUCAUCCAUUCUCUUUCACCGUGUUCACCAGGUAAUAAAACACUUUCAUCUUCAAAUAUUAUAUAAAGUCUGGUUAAAUGGAUGUGCGAUGUUUAUUAAAUGUGGUCUUUAUAAAACACUACUAUGAAAGUGGAAUGUAGGACUUUCUCACAUGACGAUUCAGAGACGUGUGGAGGGGUUACAGUGCCAGAAUCACUGUAAUAUAGAGAGAAAAUAUACUUUUCUGUAUGUUAAGUGUUUGUGUUGAUUAGUAUUAGUAUGGUACAGUUAUUAGUAUACUAAACUAUAGGUUUACUAUACUUAACUAGUAAAUUGAUAACCUGAAAUACUGUACUGUAGUUUAUUAUAGUAAAAUACUAAAGUAUACUUUACUGACUCAAGAGUUUAACUGAAAACAGAUGCGUAACGCUGUUGAGCAUUCAUUCAUCUGUCAUUCAUUCAUCUUCACAACAAAACAACACUUCACAUACAAUAAAAGUGACUUCACAUGACCCAUACUACAGUGAAUAACUAGAGACACCUGGAACUCACGCCUACACUAUAAGACAAAAGAUCAAUUUUGGGAGGUGAAUGGAGGUGAAAACAUGCCUGACUUUCUGCAGCUGAAGCAUCAAACCUCACAGAACAUCAAACUUCAAAACACAGACCCACAACAAGCCAAGAAAACACCAGAGAAAAGAUGUUCGAAGCUUGUUCACAGGGAAAGCAUGGAGCACACGCCAAACAGUGAGUAUUUGAUCAUCAGCAUCUUCAUUUAUCUGGACAUUUAUGAUUGGUGGAUAUUUCUUUUUUAUUUCCAGUUUCUCUUGAUGCAAAAGGAACAGAAGAGAGUCGCAGAUCAGAAGAGACAUUCGCACAAUCACAUAAUAAGACUGAUGAAGAAAACAAACCAACGCUGGAAUAAAACGGAAUGAAAGCAAUAACCUCAAUGACACUGGAAACAGCAGAAUGAUGAAUGACAUUAAAUGAAUGAAUGAAUAUAUGAUGACAGGAUUGAAAUGUUUGGAUGAACGGUUCCUGAGAGGUGGAAAAUACCAACAGAUGAAAGGAACCUUGAUAACAUGAAACAAAAUGUUGAGAUAUAGACGAAUGCUGAAAAAUGUUUGAAUUUAAAUGCUGAGUUUCAUAUUCACGCACUUCGACCGCUGUAUUUUAAUGAGUUAAGCUGAAAAGCCACAAACCGUUUACAUUUUCAGUUUUUAAUUGAAAUAAUUUCUGGAGCACAUGUGGGUUUAAAUAAAUGUAAGUGAUCCAUUUCUCACUUUGACAAAAGUUACUGGAUUAGUCAGUUCUUUCAAACAGAAAAUGUUUAGAUGAGACAUUGAUCUAUGACUUAUACACACUUAAAUAUUCAUAAAUAUGGAUGGACUUGUCAGG
This is a long non-coding RNA of Triplophysa rosa, 3066 nucleotides long. RefSeq lists it as uncharacterized. The transcript is spliced from 3 exons. The record is from RefSeq and is a predicted model, not a curated record. NCBI's taxonomy places the organism in Eukaryota, Metazoa, Chordata, Actinopteri, Cypriniformes, Nemacheilidae.